UACGGAGGUGGCAAGCGUUGCUCGGAAUCACUGGGCGUAAAGGGCGCGUAGGCGGGGAGGUAAGUCGGGUGUGAAAUCCCUCGGCCCAACCGAGGAACUGCGCCCGAGACUGCUUCUCUUGAGUCCCGGAGAGGAAGAUGGAAUUCCCGGUGUAGCGGUGAAAUGUGUAGAGAUCGGGAGGAACACCGGUGGCGAAGGCGACUUUCUGGCCUGUUCUUGACGCUGAGGCGCGAAAGCUAGGGGAGCAAACGGG
This 253-nucleotide ribosomal RNA is filed under the name uncultured bacterium. Its description in RNAcentral is "partial 16S ribosomal RNA". It matches the Rfam family "Bacterial small subunit ribosomal RNA", at positions 524 to 776 of the family's 1533-position model. The record is from RNAcentral.